RNAcentral lists this ribosomal RNA (774 nucleotides) under uncultured Neocallimastigales. RNAcentral describes it as "partial large subunit ribosomal RNA". It matches the Rfam family "Eukaryotic large subunit ribosomal RNA", at positions 26 to 628 of the family's 3401-position model. Lineage: Eukaryota; Fungi; Neocallimastigomycota; Neocallimastigomycetes; Neocallimastigales. The record is from RNAcentral.
CGCAUCUGUGCAUGCAGCAUAUCAAUAAGCGGAGGAAAAGAAACUAACAAGGAUUCCCCUAGUAACGGCGAGUGAAGCGGGAAGAGCUCAAAUUUGAAAUCUUAAAGGGUUUCCCUUUACGAAUUGUAGUUUAAAGAAGUGUUUUCUGUUGAGGUUUUGGUAAAAGUUCUUUGGAAUAGGACAUCAUAGAGGGUGAGAAUCCCGUAUUUGACCUUUACUUUCAACUUUGUGAUACACUUUCAAAGAGUCGGAUUGUCUGGGAAUGCAGUCCAAAAUGGGUGGUAAAUUUCAUCUAAAGCUAAAUAUUGGCGAGAGACCGAUAGCGAACAAGUACCGUGAGGGAAAGAUGAAAAGAACUUUGAAAAGAGAGUUAAACAGUACGUGAAAUUGUCAAAAGGGAAGCGUUUGACACCAGUGUUGUUUUUCUGAAAAUCAAUUAAAGAACUGUUUAUGCUAAGCUGUUUAGACUUUAUCAGCUAUCUGUUUAGUUUUGAGCUUUUCUUUAAUGCACUUUUCAGUUAACAGGUCAACAUCAAUUUCUUUUGCUGUAAAAAAGCUUGAGGAAGGUGGCUUGAGAUUCGUCUUAAGUGUUUAUAGCCUCUUGCCUAUGCAGUCGGAGAGAUUGAGGUCUGCAGCGUAGAUCCUUCGGGGCUAAAUGCAUUUGUGCUAAGUUAUAGCAUUUUAUAGACAACUUGUUGACUAUGAUUUGUCUUGUAGCUUACUCGCUUAUGUUAUUUUACCUACGCUUAGGAUGUUGAGUCGUAGAGCACGCAG